GGGCCAGGGGCGGGGUGCUAUACAUGCAAGUCGAGCGGACAGAAGGGAGCUUGCUCCCGGAUGUUAGCGGCGGACGGGUGAGUAACACGUGGGUAACCUGCCUGUAAGACUGGGAUAACUCCGGGAAACCGGAGCUAAUACCGGAUAGUUCCUUGAACCGCAUGGUUCAAGGAUGAAAGACGGUUUCGGCUGUCACUUACAGAUGGACCCGCGGCGCAUUAGCUAGUUGGUGAGGUAACGGCUCACCAAGGCGACGAUGCGUAGCCGACCUGAGAGGGUGAUCGGCCACACUGGGACUGAGACACGGCCCAGACUCCUACGGGAGGCAGCAGUAGGGAAUCUUCCGCAAUGGACGAAAGUCUGACGGAGCAACGCCGCGUGAGUGAUGAAGGUUUUCGGAUCGUAAAGCUCUGUUGUUAGGGAAGAACAAGUGCAAGAGUAACUGCUUGCACCUUGACGGUACCUAACCAGAAAGCCACGGCUAACUACGUGCCAGCAGCCGCGGUAAUACGUAGGUGGCAAGCGUUGUCCGGAAUUAUUGGGCGUAAAGGGCUCGCAGGCGGUUUCUUAAGUCUGAUGUGAAAGCCCCCGGCUCAACCGGGGAGGGUCAUUGGAAACUGGGAAACUUGAGUGCAGAAGAGGAGAGUGGAAUUCCACGUGUAGCGGUGAAAUGCGUAGAGAUGUGGAGGAACACCAGUGGCGAAGGCGACUCUCUGGUCUGUAACUGACGCUGAGGAGCGAAAGCGUGGGGAGCGAACAGGAUUAGAUACCCUGGUAGUCCACGCCGUAAACGAUGAGUGCUAAGUGUUAGGGGGUUUCCGCCCCUUAGUGCUGCAGCUAACGCAUUAAGCACUCCGCCUGGGGAGUACGGUCGCAAGA
RNAcentral lists this ribosomal RNA (879 nucleotides) under Bacillus pumilus. RNAcentral's name for it is "bacterial SSU rRNA". It matches the Rfam family "Bacterial small subunit ribosomal RNA", at positions 26 to 893 of the family's 1533-position model. The record is from RNAcentral. Lineage: Bacteria; Bacillati; Bacillota; Bacilli; Caryophanales; Bacillaceae.